RNAcentral lists this ribosomal RNA (465 nucleotides) under uncultured bacterium. RNAcentral describes it as "partial 16S ribosomal RNA". It matches the Rfam family "Bacterial small subunit ribosomal RNA", at positions 338 to 795 of the family's 1533-position model. The record is from RNAcentral.
CCUACGGGAGGCAGCAGUGGGGAAUAUUGCACAAUGGGCGAAAGCCUGAUGCAGCGACGCCGCGUGAGUGAUGAAGGUCUUCGGAACGUAAAGCUCUGUCAGCAGGGAAGAAAGGUCACUGUGCUAAACAGCAGUGACUUGACGGUACCUGCAAAGGAAGCACCGGCUAACUCCGGGCCAGCAGCCGCGGUAAUACGGAGGGUGCGAGCGUUAAUCGGAAUUACUGGGCGGAAGGGGCUCGUAGGCGGUAUGUCAAGUCAAGGGUGAAAUCCCCGGGCUCAACGUGGGAACUGCCUUUGAAACUGGCAAGAUGGAGUGUGGGAGAGGAUAGUGGAAUUCCAGGUGUAGGGGUGAAAUCCGUAGAUAUCUGGAGGAACACCAGUGGCGAAGGCGACUAUCUGGCACAUAACUGACGCUGAGGUGCGAAAGCGUGGGUAGCAAACAGGAUUAGAUACCCGUGUAGUC